CUGUUGGGGCGCGAUAAAGUGAAUAUGACUAUCAACGCCACCUGCUGUGAGGAUUUUACCUUCACCAGAGAUGAUUUCGGUAGCACCGCCAAUAGGAAUAUCGAUGGCAGGCUGGAUAUCAGGAUUGCCCGCUUUGCCAAUGGCACUGAUACGACCAUCUUUGAUACCGAUAUCCGCUUUAUAGAUGCCUGUAUAGUCAACGACCAAUGCAUUAGUAAUAACCGUAUCGGCAACUUCCGCGCCUAGUAAUUGUCCUUGACCCAUACCAUCACG
RNAcentral lists this small RNA (273 nucleotides) under uncultured Psychrobacter sp. Its description in RNAcentral is "5' ureB small RNA". It matches the Rfam family "5' ureB small RNA". The record is from RNAcentral. Lineage: Bacteria; Pseudomonadati; Pseudomonadota; Gammaproteobacteria; Moraxellales; Moraxellaceae.